Long non-coding RNA from Cornus florida, 687 nucleotides. RefSeq lists it as uncharacterized. NCBI's taxonomy places the organism in Eukaryota, Viridiplantae, Streptophyta, Magnoliopsida, Cornales, Cornaceae. The transcript is spliced from 2 exons. The record is from RefSeq and is a predicted model, not a curated record.
UUAUGUCAUACAAAAAAUAAUAAUAAUUUAUUUGAAAGAGUAGAUUUAGAAUAACCACGUAGAAAAGUUUAUUGCAAUAUCGCCUCCCGGGCUAGAACUGGUCAAGUCCGUUGUAUAAACCAAACAGUGGUACAACCCAACCAAAGUGGGCUAGUUGAGACUGGCCUUGAGCCAGCCUACCCAAAAUUUCAGUCCUGACAUCAAACUAGGGUUUCAGCCGUUCCUCUCUAUAUAUAUACUAGCAGUACAUACACACUCCGAUACAUUGCGGAGUUUUUGCUUGUAGGGUUUAUCAAAAUAGAAUUUUAUUUUUUUAAAUUUAUUUAUUGUUUGUUUGUUUGUGUUGCUAACUUGCUAUUGAAUGCAUAGGCGUUUCUCGAGGAUUAAGAUUGCAUGAUUUAGAUCACAGGAAAAUUGAAGCAGAUGAAGCUGUGUCGAUGGCAUUGGACAGACCUGAAAGGAGUAAUGGCAGAAGUGGAGAACAACCUUAGGGUGCUGUUUCACAAAGAUUCCAGCGUUACUCGUCUGAUAAUGUCCAUGACUGUAGUGUUAAACCAAUAAUUUCAUAUUUUCUUUUUUAUGUAAACCAUAAAGAAGAUAUCUGUAACCUUAUUUUGCUUAUAGAUUCAGUUUGCUUUGUUAAUGUAAUUUUUGUUUUAAAUCUAUAGUAUCAUUUAAAUUGGUCUA